Molecule: ribosomal RNA, 494 nt
Filed under: uncultured bacterium
Lineage: Bacteria
Description: partial 16S ribosomal RNA
Rfam family: Bacterial small subunit ribosomal RNA
Source: RNAcentral
GACGAACGCUGGCGGCGUGCUUAACACAUGCAAGUCGAACGGAGAGGCCUGCUUUCCCUUGUGGAUUGCGGGUACUCGAGUGGCGAACGGGUGAGUAACACGUGAGUGAUCUGCCCCCAACUUGGGUAUAAGCCUGGGAAACUGGGUCUAAUUCCCGAUAGGACUGCAGGGUGGCGCCUGUGGUGGAAAACGAUUUUCUAGUGGUUGGGGAUGAGCUCGCGGCCUAUCAGCUUGUUGGUGGGGUAAUGGCCUACCAAGGCGGCGACGGGUAGCCGGCCUGAGAGGGUGGACGGCCACAUUGGGACUGGGAUACGGCCCAGACUCCUACGGGAGGCAGCAGUGGGGAAUAUUGCACAAUGGGCGGAAGCCUGAUGCAGCGACGCCGCGUGGGGGAUGACGGCCUUCGGGUUGUAAACUCCUUUCGACCGCGAGGAAGCCACCUGGUUGGAAGGGUGGUGACGGUAGUGGUAGAAGAAGCACCGGCUAACUACGUG